GACGAACGCUGGCGGCGUGCUUAACACAUGCAAGUCGAACGAGAAGAGAUGAGAAGCUUGCUUCUUAUUAAUUCGAGUGGCAAACGGGUGAGUAACGCGUAAGCAACCUGCCCUUCAGAUGGGGACAACAACUGGAAACGGCUGCUAAUACCGAAUACGUUCUUUUUGUCGCAUGGCAGAGAGAAGAAAGGGAGGCUCUUCGGAGCUUUCGCUGAAGGAGGGGCUUGCGUCUGAUUAGCUAGUUGGAGGGGUAACGGCCCACCAAGGCGACGAUCAGUAGCCGGUCUGAGAGGAUGAACGGCCACAUUGGGACUGAGACACGGCCCAGACUCCUACGGGAGCAGCAGUCGGGAAUAUUGCGCAAUGGAGGAAACUCUGACGCAGUGACGCCGCGUGAACGAUGACGGCC
RNAcentral lists this ribosomal RNA (409 nucleotides) under uncultured bacterium. Its description in RNAcentral is "bacterial SSU rRNA". It matches the Rfam family "Bacterial small subunit ribosomal RNA", at positions 28 to 416 of the family's 1533-position model. The record is from RNAcentral.